Molecule: ribosomal RNA, 495 nt
Filed under: uncultured bacterium
Lineage: Bacteria
Description: partial 16S ribosomal RNA
Rfam family: Bacterial small subunit ribosomal RNA
Source: RNAcentral
GAUGAACGCUGGCGGCGUGCCUAAUACAUGCGAGUCGAACGCUGAAGGAGGAGCUUGCUCUUCUGGAUGAGUUGCGAACGGGUGAGUAACGCGUAGGUAACCUGCCUGGUAGCGGGGGAUAACUAUUGGAAACGAUAGCUAAUACCGCAUGACAACAGUUAUUGCAUGAUAACUGUUUAAAAGGGGCAACUGCUCCACUACCAGAUGGACCUGCGUUGUAUUAGCUAGUUGGUGAGGUAACGGCUCACCAAGGCGACGAUACAUAGCCGACCUGAGAGGGUGAUCGGCCACACUGGGACUGAGACACGGCCCAGACUCCUACGGGAGGCAGCAGUAGGGAAUCUUCGGCAAGGGACGGAAGUCUGACCGAGCAACGCCGCGUGAGUGAAGAAGGUUUUCGGAUCGUAAAGCUCUGUUGUAAGAGAAGAACGAGUGUGAGAGUGGAAAGUUCACACUGUGACGGUAUCUUACCAGAAAGGGACGGCUAACUACGUG